This is a long non-coding RNA of Papaver somniferum (opium poppy), 831 nucleotides long. RefSeq lists it as uncharacterized. The record is from RefSeq and is a predicted model, not a curated record. The transcript has 5 exons. NCBI's taxonomy places the organism in Eukaryota, Viridiplantae, Streptophyta, Magnoliopsida, Ranunculales, Papaveraceae.
UAUUGCGGCAGUGAAUGAAGGGAAAACAGAAAUAGAGAGAAUUCACUGUGAGCUUUCGAGAUCCUUGGAAAAUUGAAGGCGUUUCUUUUUUCCUACCAAACUUAAGGAAUUGACGCUGAUUCGGCCAAAAGGGAGCAUGGUACUCUGAAAGAGGAGCUGGGGGAAGCCUGAAUCUAAACAAGUAUACUAAAUUGUGAUGUUGAGCCUGAAUUACCAUACCGGGUCUUUAAAGUAUAAGGCAUUUGGUCAAGAAAUUUACACUGAUUUCUUGGAUUUCUUGCAAUAUGCAGCAACAUCAUCUUGGUGGAGCCAUGGAUAUACAAUGUCACUUUUUUUGGUUAUCUUCUUUCAUUCUCUACGCGAUGGAGGAUGUCAAGUGUACAAGAGCAAGAGUUACCAGAACCAGACCAUUUCAAGGAUGUUAUGAGUGCUGAUGAUGAAGAUGAUGAUGUUGAGAUGUUAUGAAUGUAUGAUACUAUGAUAGUAUCUGUGUGACUGUGUCUGUGUUUCUUUAAGAAGACUAAUUUGUUUAGUUUUGCAAUUUUGAGUUUUUGAAUUGAUAUACCAAAUGAAUUGGAUGAAUGUUAGAUACUUAGGUUGUAGCUUGUAGGAAAGGAACUUUAGAUGCCCUGAAUAUGGAAGGAAAUAGCCCAGAAAUCGAUUUCUGGCGAGUUGACUCAACAAAAACCAGGUAACCCGUGAGCACCCGUAAACCCGCGAGCUUUACCCGGGACGGGCACGGGUGGGAUAAAUGACCACCCGUGAAGAAUUUCAACCCGCGAGCUCAGGCUUGUAUUAACCUGUAACCCGCAGGUUGGUCACAAGCCAGAC